GGCGUAUCAAACAAGCUUGUGCGUGCCUGCUAAGUCACUUCAGUCGUGGCCCGCCAGGUUCCUCUGUGCAUGGGAUUUCCCAGGCAAGAAUACUGGAGUGGUUGCCAUUUCCUUCUCCAGGGGAUCUUCCCAACCCAGGGAUUGAACCCACAUCUCUUAUGUCUCCUGCAUUGGCAAGGAGGUUCUUUAUGCCACUAGGUCCACCUGGGAAGCCCACUAAAUGAGCUAAGACUGCGGCAAAUUAACCCAGGAAAGCACACGCAUUCCCUAAUUGGAGAGGCCUUCCGCAAACACCCUCAGAGGCCCAGGCGCAAGCUUCCGCCGCCAGUCUGUCCGCUCUCAGGCCGGGGUAGGGGGACACGCGCGAGGUUCGGCUGUGCCCACGGUCCAGCCACUGCACAAGCCGGCCGUCUCCCAGAGUUCUGAGUAAUCGCCGGAAGCCCGGCCAGAAUCAAAGCGGACGCGAAGCAUCCACCCAGCUGGAAGAGCCGCCGCCGCCGGGGAAGCAGGAAUCUCCCAGAUACCCAGUGUGGGGGCGCUCCCGAGCCCUCGGGGUCCCCCGGCGGCCUCCUGGAGUCUGGAGCUCAGGCGGAGAGAUGCAGGGACGGCGGGAGGCCGGAGGCAGCCGUGGUCAGGGAAGCGAGGGGACCAGAAGGACCACCGGAGGUGUCCGGGCGGAAGGGCCGCGGGGCUGGGGUCGCCCCGGUCCCCGCCGCACCCUGGGGACCCCGGCCCGCUUGGUUUGGGCCUCAAAGACCUCCACUGAUGAAUGCUCUCUGUGAAGCAAACUGCACUUUUGCCUUCAACUUAUUAAAAAUGUUGGCUGAAGAGGACCACUCGUGACACGUGUUCUUCUCUCCGCUGAGCCUCUCCUUUGUCCUGACCAUGGUCUUAAUGGGGGCUGAGGGGAACACGGUGGCCCAGAUGUCCCAGAGCACCAAAGUUGUCUGGCCAUCUGGUCGACCUGUCGGCGGUGCUUGCCUGACUACAACCAAACAUAAACACAAAUCUGGAUCGCAGGGCAAAGAAGGCAGAGCACCACCACUCCGCACUCGUUUCUCUUACCUAAGCGUUCUCCCGUCCGCGCGCGUUCAGACGCCCUUCCAGGACUGCACACCGCACCAGGCUCGCGUCUCCUUGGUACCCUCAGCGGAGGGCCCGGGCCGCUUUCUGGGUCUCAAACAUUUGGCGCCUCUGACCACCGAUCCCGUGCAGGACUAAAGCAGCACAUUGGGCCACCUCCUUGCUCGCCCACCGCGUUCCCUCUUGUCACCCGUGGCGAGGGACUCGUGUGUGGUCCACACAACUUUCGAGCCCGUAAGGGGAACAGAAGAGACUACAGGCGGCCCCCGCGAAGACGCAGCACGGCUUCCGACGAACGCAGAGCUUGACACGACAGCGGCCGUCGGAGAGCAGCUCCCCCGCCGCCCAGCCCUGGUGCGGACCUGGGCCCCCAGGCGAUCAGGACGUGGGGUUGGGAGAGCCUAGUCUGGGGAUCGCGGUGCCGCUGGGAGGGCCGGGUGCGCAGCCCAGCGCCGCCUUGUUCCGCGUGUCCGGCCAGGCUCCACUCCGGGGAAGACGCCCGGGAUCCAGGGACGGCCGGCGUGAACCCUGCGCCGUCCGCCGACGGAGACACGGCUACUCCCAGCCGAGGCGGGAAAACAAAAAUACUGAUCCAGGACACCGCGCGGGGCACUUUACUCUCCUGGCUGCGAGCCGUACCCCAUGCAGCCCCGCGGGCGGAGGAAACGUCCGGAUCGCUGUCUAGCUUCUAAAGACACGGCCCGUGCUCGCCACGCAAGCCUGACCGUUCAGAGGGAGCAGGACGCGUCCAGGCCCGGAGACGGGGCCCAGGCGCGCCAGCCAACGAGCCCUGCGAGCCCAUACUCGGCCGGUCUGGCCAAGCACCAGAGCCUGGAGAGUGGGGACCCCGGAGGGAGACGAAGGCCCCUAACGGUGACCCAGGAGUUUGGCCGACGAGCCACAGGAACUCCGGCGCCGCAGACCCUUUCUCUGCUCGCUCCGAGGCCCCGCGGAUGGAAGACCGCGAGGAGCUGCUGGUCGACCAGAGCGAGCGACAACCCACCUGUAAGGCCGCAGCGCCGAACGCCCUAACGCCCGAGCUCGCCCGGGGCCUCUGCCUCGGAGGGGGCUCCCCGCUCGGGACAGCGCGACGCGGCUUCGCGGAGCGGCCCAGGCGGCAGACGAGGGCGGUCGGAGAGCGGAAGGCUGCGGCGGAGAGGCCCUCCCCGCGAGACUGCAGGGCCGCAGGCCAACCUGAGCAAGGGAGAUUCUGCAGGGGGCUGGGCUGUGUGAACUGUGAGCUGGAACAGUGAAAGUAAAACAGAAAGCAAGCAAGCACGGAAUACAUAUUAUUCUGUCAUUUCAGAGUUGAGAUGUUACUCAAGUACAAAAAUACAAGGCUCAGAAGCCAUAAAGGAAACGACUGAAAACUUGACUAUGUAAUUGGUCUUUUGGUCUUUACCAAGCAAAGGCAGGUGACAAGAAAUGGGUGUGAGAACGUUUGUGCGACUACAUAUAUAUUAAGAACGUUGGUAUCAGGAUUACAUAAUAACAGAAUGUAGAAAACACGGCAAGGGACCAGUUAAGUAAAUUUUCAGUGCAUUCACAUAACACAAGACUAUCACUUUGCUUUUUGGUUUAUUGCUGUUGUUUAAAUGAGUUAGAUCCAUAGGUAUUGACUUGGAAAGAUGUCGAUGGCAAACUGUCAAAUGAAAACAAAGUUUUAGCACUUACUACUGGAAGUGCUUUUUAAAAAAUGAAGCGGAAAAAUGAAGAGUUAGAAUAGCUAAAGCGGUUUUAAAGAGCAAGAAUCAAGUCUUCCCUGUAGCCUGGUGUCUGGACAGAAAGACGUGCCAGAAACAAAGAUGGGCCACACUACGUGCUUCUCUGCUCCCUCCUGCUGUAGUCUUGGGAAGGCAGCUGGCAUCUCAGCCCCUGCACCUCUCUGCUCCACUAACACUCAGAGCCCCUGCAGGCAAUCAGAACUCUGACUCUGCAGGCCUGGGGUCCCUAUGUCCACAGUCUCUUCCUUCAUGUCAGGAGCCUCGAGCAAUUCACUUGGUUUGCCCAAUCAUCCAUGCCCAGAGCUGCUGGCUCUAACAUACACCUGUGCAGUCCUUCUCUCCAUAAGCUUUGAGCUGAUAUCCCAAGGUAAGACCAUUCCCCUCACAAAACAGGUAUGAACCACGGGAACAACUGGAAGUUUGCACCUGGACCCAUUAUACAAACUCUGUGUGCACACUCUACUCCCAAAGACACUACCCUUUUCACUGUGCUGUUUGCAUGGUAUGGCCAUUGCUUACUAGAAGCAUCCAGACUCACUUAUGUGGCAGGAAGAAAUACUAAGUACAUACACACACAUGCACACACACCCAUGUACAAACACAGAGGCACACACACACCCCAGGAGCUUAUCUGGACUCCUGCUAGGGCUGGCAAUGGUGGGAGCAGAAAAGACAUCAUUGUUGCUGCUUCUCGGGUCCUCUGCACUGGCAGACCCUGGUUGCUUUGCUGACUUCACUGUGGAGAGUGAGGGCUUGGAGCGCCCUAGUCUGCAGUUUGCUGUCCAGCGCCCUGUGCUUUAUUCAGUCCACUCUACCCUCUCUCCUCAAUGCACAGUCACCAUUAAAAAUAAGAAUGGACACACAUUGAUUUCAAUUUUCAAACUUGAACAAAGUUUAAGAACAGAGAGAAAUUGGGUUAUUGUGAAGAAGGUAGUGAGGAAAUUUUAUUUAUCUUUUUUGCAGCUACCAAAAUGUUCAAAUAUAGUCUAUAAAAGCUUAAUAUUUUUUAAAACUAGGAAAAGUAAAUAAUCCCUCAUUACUCCUUCUUGCCCAUCACCAUCUCUGCCCCAGCUUGUGUCACAGUGGGCUCACCUGACGACAUGCCUGUUCUCCUGGUUUGGAGACUUCUUUCACACUCAUCACUAUCCUCUAUGCUCACUACACACCUGAGGCCACUGUAGCCAUCCACAUGGUAAAUCAGGGGAUUUUUCUCUAGUGAGCCUGAGGGUUGUAUUUUUUUUUUUUUUCUUCUAAUAGAAACCACUCCCAUCUGUCCUCUAAAGUCACAACCUUUAUGGAUCCUGUAACAAGUGGGUGUGAAUGACAGAAAGAGGCUAUUUCCAUAUCAGUCUCUGAGCUGCCAUAUGCCUAACAGAGUGGUGGAUGUUACUGGCAUUUAAUAUUUCCUGGGUGGUGUUAGAAGAUCCAGGCUGAAAGGAGAAACCGGACAAUUUGGCAAGACACAGAUCAAACCAGGAGCCAGAGCAAGUCCCUCUCAUUGUUUCAAGGUCAAGAACUCAGCCACCACUGUCCUUCUCUGCAUCCUCAUGCAGGACGGUUGAAACUGACCAGAUAAAGCUGAGGAGAUGGAAAGAAGUCAUGAGAUCCAAGCCUCUAAAGCCCUGCUAGAUACUCCAGGCAUGAGUCCCCAACCACUCACCUGGGUGUGACCCCUCCUACCAAACCACAGGCAUGCAGAGAUAUGGGGAACCCUCCUUUCUGGGGUCAAAGCACUAUGGGCUACUCGCCACAUAAACAACGUAGUAAUAUUUCCAUUUUACGC
This 4590-nucleotide long non-coding RNA is filed under the name Bos indicus x Bos taurus (hybrid cattle). Its description in RNAcentral is "lncRNA (ENSBIXG00005000031.1)". The record is from RNAcentral. Lineage: Eukaryota; Metazoa; Chordata; Mammalia; Artiodactyla; Bovidae.